GCUGCUGCUUCCGACUCGCUGGAGUGGUGAUGCUGGGAGAUCUCCCUUGGAAAGACCCCCACCGAGGAAAGGGACAUGAUGGCUUGAGGCUGCUGCUUCGGACUGGCUGGAGCGGCGAUGCGGCGAGAUCUCCCUUGGAGAGACCCCCGCCGAGGAAAGGCGCCUGACGGCUCCAGGACAGAGCAGUAAUCAUGUGUGAAGAAGGAAAGGCUAACAGUGGGGAUCCUACUGCUAAUGAGAAGAGUGACUGCAAUGGGAACAGUAAAAAUGAACCAAAGGCUUCUGAAAAUACAGAACUGAUGAUUGAGCCCUUACAAGGGGCAGAACCACGUGGUUGUGGAUGGAGAGCAAACCUGAGGGAGAUGCCAUUUUGGAUACGUGUUACAAUAGUCGGUGCCAUCGCUUCUGUUGUCUGUGUCAUCACUGCUUUUGUUGUCUUGGAUGCCACUGGUGAGUUCUCAACCCUCUUCUCGAUCCUCCUCUUUGACUGAUAUUUUGCAGUUUCUGCCUCUAUGUCUGCCUGUCACUGGGUCUGCAUAGUUUCCCUCUGCACCUCCAGCCUGGCUCUGGCUGCCCUGCCACAGCAGCACCAGAAACAGCAGCCACACCCCGUCCAGCAGCCCUGGGAAGGGCCGUUGGAUGGCAACUACCAGCACGUUCUCCUUGAUGGGGUGGUCUACUCCCCUUCCAUGCCUGAUGCUGCUCUUGUGCUGGGCUGGGGGUAGCUGGCUCACCCUGCCCACCAGAGAGCCUUGGCAGGCAGGGACAUUGGAGUGGCAGUGGAAGGGGGGGGGAGAGAGAGAACAGAUGGAUGGUGCCACCCUGGCCAACUCAGUGGCAAAACAGAGUGUGGGUGUGCUCUGGGGCGACCACCCCUCUGCCCCUUACAGUACACCGCUGCCUACAACUCAUAGCUAAAAGGUCUAACAUAUACUAUAAAACAAUCACAGCCCAUUCUAGACAGUAAAAUAAAAAGUAAUUGCACGUACGCUUCA
RNAcentral lists this long non-coding RNA (995 nucleotides) under Pogona vitticeps (central bearded dragon). RNAcentral's name for it is "lncRNA (ENSPVIG00000010864.1)". Lineage: Eukaryota; Metazoa; Chordata; Lepidosauria; Squamata; Agamidae. The record is from RNAcentral.